AUUGGACUACCGUGGCAGUGACGGGUAACGGGGAAUAAGGGUUCGAUUCCGGAGAGGGAGCCUGAGAAACGGCUACCACAUCUAAGGAAGGCAGCAGGCGCGCAAAUUACCCAAUCCUGACUCAGGGAGGUAGUGACAAGAAAUAACAACACUGGAAAUUUUAUUUCUAGUGAUUGGAAUGAUGGGAAUUUAAACCCCUUUCAGAGUAACAAUUGGAGGGCAAGUCUGGUGCCAGCAGCCGCGGUAAUUCCAGCUCCAAUAGCGUAUAUUAAAGUUGUUGCAGUUAAAAAGCUCGUAGUUGGAUGUCUGCUGGAAGCAAUCAGUCCGCCCUAUUUGUAGGGUGUGCACUUGAUGAAUUCUGGCAUUUUUGUCCCAAUGAUGUAGCGGGGCGGUGGUAUUGGGUGAAAGCUCAAUAGCGUCUUUUCCGAUUAUUGGGAUACUGUUACUUUGAGAAAAUUAGAGUGUUUGAAGCAGGCUAAUUGCCUUGAAUACUGCAGCAUGGAAUAACAAUAUAGGAUUUCGGUUCUAUUUUGUUGGUUUCUAGGACUGAAAUAAUGAAUAAUAGGGACAGUUGGGGGCAUUCGUA
This 586-nucleotide ribosomal RNA is filed under the name Sarcocystis capracanis. Its description in RNAcentral is "SSU rRNA". It matches the Rfam family "Eukaryotic small subunit ribosomal RNA", at positions 335 to 896 of the family's 1831-position model. The record is from RNAcentral. Lineage: Eukaryota; Apicomplexa; Conoidasida; Eucoccidiorida; Sarcocystidae.